GAUGAACGCUGGCGGCGUGCCUAAUACAUGCAAGUCGAGCGAACGGACGAGAAGCUUGCUUCUCUGAUGUUAGCGGCGGACGGGUGAGUAACACGUGGAUAACCUACCUAUAAGACUGGGAUAACUUCGGGAAACCGGAGCUAAUACCGGAUAAUAUUUUGAACCGCAUGGUUCAAAAGUGAAAGACGGCCUUGCUGUCACUUAUAGAUGGAUCCGCGCUGCAUUAGCUAGUUGGUAAGGUAACGGCUUACCAAGGCAACGAUGCAUAGCCGACCUGAGAGGGUGAUCGGCCACACUGGAACUGAGACACGGUCCAGACUCCUACGGGAGGCAGCAGUAGGGAAUCUUCCGCAAUGGGCGAAAGCCUGACGGAGCAACGCCGCGUGAGUGAUGAAGGUCUUCGGAUCGUAAAACUCUGUUAUUAGGGAAGAACAUAUGUGUAAGUAACUGUGCACAUCUUGACGGUACCUAAUCAGAAAGCCACGGCUAACUACGUGCCAGCAGCCGCGGUAAUACGUAGGUGGCAAGCGUUAUCCGGAAUUAUUGGGCGUAAAGCGCGCGUAGGCGGUUUUUUAAGUCUGAUGUGAAAGCCCACGGCUCAACCGUGGAGGGUCAUUGGAAACUGGAAAACUUGAGUGCAGAAGAGGAAAGUGGAAUUCCAUGUGUAGCGGUGAAAUGCGCAGAGAUAUGGAGGAACACCAGUGGCGAAGGCGACUUUCUGGUCUGUAACUGACGCUGAUGUGCGAAAGCGUGGGGAUCAAACAGGAUUAGAUACCCUGGUAGUCCACGCCGUAAACGAUGAGUGCUAAGUGUUAGGGGGUUUCCGCCCCUUAGUGCUGCAGCUAACGCAUUAAGCACUCCGCCUGGGGAGUACGACCGCAAGGUUGAAACUCAAAGGAAUUGACGGGGACCCGCACAAGCGGUGGAGCAUGUGGUUUAAUUCGAAGCAACGCGAAGAACCUUACCAAAUCUUGACAUCCUUUGACAACUCUAGAGAUAGAGCCUUCCCCUUCGGGGGACAAAGUGACAGGUGGUGCAUGGUUGUCGUCAGCUCGUGUCGUGAGAUGUUGGGUUAAGUCCCGCAACGAGCGCAACCCUUAAGCUUAGUUGCCAUCAUUAAGUUGGGCACUCUAAGUUGACUGCCGGUGACAAACCGGAGGAAGGUGGGGAUGACGUCAAAUCAUCAUGCCCCUUAUGAUUUGGGCUACACACGUGCUACAAUGGACAAUACAAAGGGCAGCGAAACCGCGAGGUCAAGCAAAUCCCAUAAAGUUGUUCUCAGUUCGGAUUGUAGUCUGCAACUCGACUACAUGAAGCUGGAAUCGCUAGUAAUCGUAGAUCAGCAUGCUACGGUGAAUACGUUCCCGGGUCU
RNAcentral lists this ribosomal RNA (1372 nucleotides) under uncultured bacterium. Its description in RNAcentral is "bacterial SSU rRNA". It matches the Rfam family "Bacterial small subunit ribosomal RNA", at positions 28 to 1381 of the family's 1533-position model. The record is from RNAcentral.